Molecule: long non-coding RNA, 1674 nt
Organism: Sciurus carolinensis (gray squirrel)
Lineage: Eukaryota; Metazoa; Chordata; Mammalia; Rodentia; Sciuridae
Exons: 2
Source: RefSeq, a predicted model, not a curated record
CUGGUCUGAACAGUUUUCCCACCCUCGCGCCGCCGGCCCUUCUGCUUCCUGGGGCUCCUCCUUUGAAGUGAGUUCGCUUGGCGGAAUCCACGAACCCACUGGGAAGUUGUUCCCGGCACGUAGUGGUCGGAAAAGAUAAAAUGAAAUCCCAAGAAGCUGUUUAGGUUAAGCCAAAAUCCAUAUAUAAAGAGCUGAAAAUGCCUUUCGCCGGGCGUGGUGGCGCACGGCUGUAAUCCCAGCGUCUCGGGAGGCUGAGGCAGGAGGAUUGCAAGUUCAAAACCAGCCUCAGAAAUGGCGAAGCGCUAAACAACUCAAUGAGCCCCUGUCUAAAUAAAAUACGAAAUAGGGCUGGGGAUGUGGCUCAGUGGUUGAAUGUCCCUGAGUUCAAUCCCCGGUACCACCCGCUCCUGCAAAACGCCUUUCAUCUGAUAAAGAUUAGUUAGAACUCCGUCCCACGUCCACUCAAGGGUUGGCGGCUCGUCCUGAAACGGUUGCCCGGGUACAGCCUGGCAGACGGUCCGGACUCCUGAGUUCGAGUCUUGCCUGUGCGUUCGGUGCCGCAGAUCGUGCAAGCCUGUAAUCUCCAGAACCAAGUUUAUACUCGCCACCCCACAACAAAAUUGGAAGCGCUAAGUUUGCCCAACGAAGUCACAGACGUGGAAGGGUCGCAAGGCAAAUGCAAACUAGAAGACAAAGCCCAGGAAUUCAGAGGAACAAUCUUCUAGACAACAAGGAACACCAAGGCCAUCUUCUUCCACUUUAAUCACAGUAUUGGUGGCCAAAAUGGUGGCAGCCAGCCAAUGUUAUCCAGAUUAUCGAGUAUUUACCACAUCAUCAAUUUUCAGAAUGCUCCGGACAGUUUCAGUUGCUAGGGUCAGAGCACUGACUGAAACCAACAGGGGCUGUACAACCAUUUCUUCCAAAAUGUUGGAAAUACCACCCUUUCGGACAUUAAUGCCUGUAGUUUUUUCUCCUUGGGCAUGCCGAUUUCUUAGUUCUGUUACUGUAGAAAUGGGUUUAUUUCUUUAAGGCCUUAAAGUGUGAUGGUCAAUUCUGUUAAGGUUCCCUGACAUUUUAUAGUUCGUACUCAUAUAUCCUACACCAUAUUGGGUAAAUAGAUAAUAUGGGACAUUGACAAUAAGCCAGGCAGUAUGGGAGAUCCUUCAGCAUGUGGGCCUUAUGAUUCUAUGACCUAGAUACUAUCUCAAAUUUACAGACUGGCAAAAGUUAAAAAUGAUUUGUCAAUGGGCACUCUCCCAUAUUGCUGAUGGGGAUAUCACCGAUGCUCUCUUUGAAGAUAAUCUGGUAGUCUCGAUGGAAAUUUACACCGGGCACUGUGGCACGUGCUUAUAAUACCAGCAACUUCAGAGGCUGAGGCAGGAGGGUUACAAGUUGGAGGCCAGCCUGGGCAACUUGGUGAAAUCCUGACUCAAAAUUAAUAAGUAAAAACGGUUGGGGAUGUAACUCAGUAGUAGAGCCCCCCACCCCCACCCCAGAUUCAAUCCCCAGUACCGAUUUUGUUUUAAAAAAAAUAUGAAUUCAUUCCCUUCUAAUUGGCAAUUUCUUUCUGCAAAUAUACCUAUUGAAAUACACAAAUUUGGAAAAAUACAUCAGUGGCUGUUCACCAGAGUUUUAUUGGAGAAAAAAAAAAAAAAAGAAAAGAAAAGAACUGGG